RNAcentral lists this transfer RNA (69 nucleotides) under Arthroleptis poecilonotus (West African screeching frog). RNAcentral's name for it is "tRNA-Lys". Lineage: Eukaryota; Metazoa; Chordata; Amphibia; Anura; Arthroleptidae. The record is from RNAcentral.
CAUUAAGAAGCUAUAAAAACAGCGACAACCUUUUAAGUUGUAGAUGGUGUAUUCAACCGCCCUUAGUGA